UGGAGUUUAUAAAAGUACUUAGCAAGUUCAUUCAUCAGUUAUCUAAAGAAACAGCCAUCAGUUAUCUAAGGAAAGAUCUUGCAGGAUAAGUAAGUUCAAUUUAAGCCAGAUGCAGCCAUCAGGACCAGCAGCUGCUGCUUAAGCAGAAAGCAGGGCAGGGGAGCACAGCACCACACCUUCUCACCUCUUUAUGUGCAGCAAGAAUUGGUAUCUUGUAGGGUCAGUGGUGUCUGAAGAGGAAGUGGAUGAGAGGAGAGCAAGAAUGCAUGAGAAAGUAUCUGGAGGAAAGGAUCCAAAUGGAAGGAGUCAGAAGUUACAAAAGGUGAACACGUCAAGAGCUAGAUCAGCAAAAGUUUUAGAAGUGGAAAGCUGAAUGCACCAAAGGAAGAUUUUUGUCCCAGCUACUUUUAUAUAAUAGAUCAAUAAA
Long non-coding RNA from Lepidothrix coronata (blue-crowned manakin), 427 nucleotides. RefSeq lists it as uncharacterized. The transcript has 3 exons. The record is from RefSeq and is a predicted model, not a curated record. Lineage: Eukaryota; Metazoa; Chordata; Aves; Passeriformes; Pipridae.